GGGGCUGUAGCGCAGCGGUCGACGCGCCGCCUGCUCGGCGGAGGACGCCGGUUCGAAUCCGGCCGGCUCCG
This 71-nucleotide transfer RNA is filed under the name Actinomadura montaniterrae. Its description in RNAcentral is "tRNA-Ser". It matches the Rfam family "tRNA". From Rfam's summary of the family: Transfer RNA (tRNA) molecules are approximately 80 nucleotides in length. The record is from RNAcentral. Lineage: Bacteria; Bacillati; Actinomycetota; Actinomycetes; Streptosporangiales; Thermomonosporaceae.